This 475-nucleotide ribosomal RNA is filed under the name uncultured organism. RNAcentral describes it as "partial 16S ribosomal RNA". It matches the Rfam family "Bacterial small subunit ribosomal RNA", at positions 334 to 800 of the family's 1533-position model. The record is from RNAcentral.
CACUCCUGCGGGAGGCAGCAGUGGGGAAUUUUGGACAAUGGGCGAAAGCCUGAUCCAGCCAUGCCGCCUGCAGGAUGAAGGCCUUCGGGUUGUAACCUGCUUUUGUACGGAACGAAACGGCCUUUUCUAAUAAAGAGGGCUAAUGACGGUACCGUAAGAAUAAGCACCGGCUAACUACGUGCCAGCAGCCGCGGUAAUACGUAGGGUGCAAGCGUUAAUCGGAAUUACUGGGCGUAAAGCGUGCGCAGGCGGUUAUGUAAGACAGUUGUGAAAUCCCCGGGCUCAACCUGGGAACUGCAUCUGUGACUGCAUAGCUAGAGUACGGUAGAGGGGGAUGGAAUUCCGCGUGUAGCAGUGAAAUGCGUAGAUAUGCGGAGGAACACCGAUGGCGAAGGCAAUCCCCUGGACCUGUACUGACGCUCAUGCACGAAAGCGUGGGGAGCAAACAGGAUUAGAUACCCCUGUAGUCCCAUGA